UACGUAGGGUGCAAGCGUUGUCCGGAAUUACUGGGCGUAAAGAGCUCGUAGGUGGUUUGUCGCGUUGUUCGUGAAAACCGGGGGCUUAACCCUCGGCGUGCGGGCGAUACGGGCAGACUUGAGUACUGCAGGGGAGACUGGAAUUCCUGGGGUAGCGGUGGAAUGCGCAGAUAUCAGGAGGAACACCGGUGGCGAAGGCGGGUCUCUGGGCAGUAACUGACGCUGAGGAGCGAAAGCGUGGGGAGCGAACAGG
RNAcentral lists this ribosomal RNA (253 nucleotides) under uncultured bacterium. RNAcentral describes it as "partial 16S ribosomal RNA". It matches the Rfam family "Bacterial small subunit ribosomal RNA", at positions 524 to 776 of the family's 1533-position model. The record is from RNAcentral.